RNAcentral lists this ribosomal RNA (497 nucleotides) under uncultured bacterium. RNAcentral describes it as "partial 16S ribosomal RNA". It matches the Rfam family "Bacterial small subunit ribosomal RNA", at positions 28 to 507 of the family's 1533-position model. The record is from RNAcentral.
GAUGAACGCUGGCGGCGUGCCUAAUACAUGCGAGUCGAGCGAACAGACGAGGAGCUUGCUCCUCUGACGUUAGCGGCGGACGGGUGAGUAACACGUGGAUAACCUACCUAUAAGACUGGGAUAACUUCGGGAAACCGGAGCUAAUACCGGAUAAUAUAUUGAACCGCAUGGUUCAAUAGUGAAAGACGGUUUUGCUGUCACUUAUAGAUGGAUCCGCGCCGCAUUAGCUAGUUGGUAAGGUAACGGCUUACCAAGGCAACGAUGCGUAGCCGACCUGAGAGGGUGAUCGGCCACACUGGAACUGAGACACGGUCCAGACUCCUACGGGAGGCAGCAGUAGGGAAUCUUCCGCAAUGGGCGAAAGCCUGACGGAGCAGCGCCGCGUGAGUGAUGAAGGUUUUCGGAUCGUAAAACUCUGUUAUUAGGGAAGAACAAAUGUGUAAGUAACUAUGCACGUCUUGACGGUACCUAAUCAGAAAGCCACGGCUAACUACGUG